This 253-nucleotide ribosomal RNA is filed under the name uncultured bacterium. RNAcentral's name for it is "partial 16S ribosomal RNA". It matches the Rfam family "Bacterial small subunit ribosomal RNA", at positions 524 to 776 of the family's 1533-position model. The record is from RNAcentral.
UACAGAGGGGGCAAGCGUUAUUCGGAAUUAUUGGGCGUAAAGGGCGCGUAGGCGGCCUGGCAAGUGGAAGGUGAAAUCCCUCGGCUUAACCGAGGAACUGCCCUCCAAACUGCUUGGCUUGAGUCCGGGAGAGGUGAGUGGAAUUCCCAGUGUAGCGGUGAAAUGCGUAGAUAUUGGGAGGAACACCAGUGGCGAAGGCGGCGCACUGGACCGGAACUGACGCUGAGGCGCGAAAGCGUGGGGAGCAAACGGG